RNAcentral lists this unclassified non-coding RNA (334 nucleotides) under soil metagenome. RNAcentral describes it as "partial contains 5.8S ribosomal RNA, internal transcribed spacer 2, and large subunit ribosomal RNA". The stretch from base 1 to 120 matches the Rfam family "5.8S ribosomal RNA", at positions 35 to 154 of the family's 154-position model. The record is from RNAcentral.
GAUGAAGAACGUAGCGAAAGGCGAUAAGUAAUGUGAAUUGCAGAAUUCAGUGAAUCAUCGAAUCUUUGAACGCACAUUGCGCCCGCCAGUAUUCUGGCGAGCAUGCCUGUUCGAGCGUCAUUUCAACCAUCAAGCCCCAGGCUUGUGUUGGAGCCCUGCGGCUGCCGCAGCCUCCCAAAACCAGUGGCGGGCUCGCUAUCACACCGAGUGCAGUAGUUUACUCUUCGCUCAGGGCGUGUGGCGGGUGCUAGCCGUGAAACCCCCAACUUCUCAAGGUUGACCUCGGAUCAGGUAGGAAUACCCGCUGAACUUAAGCAUAUCAAUAAGCGGAGGA